Molecule: long non-coding RNA, 300 nt
Organism: Nanorana parkeri
Lineage: Eukaryota; Metazoa; Chordata; Amphibia; Anura; Dicroglossidae
Exons: 3
Source: RefSeq, a predicted model, not a curated record
UCAGACUCCACUCCUUAAUAUGUGACCCAGAUGCUGAGCCCCAGCCAGCUAGGACAGUCAACUGACAGGGCUCCAGCGCACAGUUGAGGAAAAGGCUCCGCUUCCUGAACUGCUGUUCUCGCUUAAUUCCCACUCAGCUGCUUGUGCUGUGUUAAUAAACUCGGAGAGAGAGAGGAUGGAGAGUGGGAUUCUGUGCAUGCUCACAAGCGCGCUGUGCCUGUUCACUUGGGCUACUAGCUCAACAAUAGCACCCGGGAACAUGACACAAACAGCAGGCAACAUGUUCACCAAUAAUACUGU